This is a long non-coding RNA of Triticum dicoccoides, 203 nucleotides long. RefSeq lists it as uncharacterized. NCBI's taxonomy places the organism in Eukaryota, Viridiplantae, Streptophyta, Magnoliopsida, Poales, Poaceae. The transcript has 3 exons. The record is from RefSeq and is a predicted model, not a curated record.
AAUUGCAGGGCCUGAGAUGGGCAACCCAGUGGACAAAUACUUUAAGAGGAUGAAUGCUUCACAGUGUGCUCUGCAAGUGCUGUUGACUCAACGCUGGUUCAGGGAACUUGAUGAAUGGUUGGAUUCUCAGGGAUCAGCUUGCGAUGCAUGCUGCAAAUCACUACCUUACUGGUGUCCAGCAUCAGCUCUGUGUUUUGAUAUUA